Molecule: ribosomal RNA, 253 nt
Filed under: uncultured bacterium
Lineage: Bacteria
Description: partial 16S ribosomal RNA
Rfam family: Bacterial small subunit ribosomal RNA
Source: RNAcentral
UACAGAGGGGGCAAGCGUUGUUCGGAAUUACUGGGCGUAAAGGGCGCGUAGGCGGCCUUCUUAGUCGAACGUGAAAUCCCCGGGCUCAACCCGGGAACUGCGUCCGAUACUGGAAGGCUCGAAUCCGGGAGAGGGAUGUGGAAUUCCAGGUGUAGCGGUGAAAUGCGUAGAUAUCUGGAGGAACACCGGUGGCGAAGGCGGCAUCCUGGACCAAUAUUGACGCUGAGGAGCGAAAGCCAGGGGAGCAAACGGG